AACCUAAGCAUGAAGAUUGGGUGAUCAGGCUAUUUUAUAAUAUGUGCCUUCCUCAAAACUUGUUACAGUAUUAUCACAUCACCCAUCUGACU
This is a small nucleolar RNA of Callithrix jacchus (white-tufted-ear marmoset), 92 nucleotides long. The record is from Ensembl. NCBI's taxonomy places the organism in Eukaryota, Metazoa, Chordata, Mammalia, Primates, Cebidae.